UCAUCAGGUAGGAUAAUCCUUACCUGUUCCUCCUUUCGGAGGGCUGCUAGAACAUGAUGAUUGGGAGUAUCACAUGAUAUGUGAUCAAUGUCUCUCUGUAAUUAGGACUGGGACCAUACAUGAUACUGUAUUCAAUU
This 137-nucleotide small nucleolar RNA is filed under the name Chinchilla lanigera (long-tailed chinchilla). RNAcentral describes it as "U8 small nucleolar RNA (ENSCLAG00000020505.1)". It matches the Rfam family "U8 small nucleolar RNA". Rfam says of the family: U8 is a member of the C/D class of snoRNA which contain the C (UGAUGA) and D (CUGA) box motifs. U8 is the RNA component of a small complex (the U8 snoRNP) which is required for accumulation of mature large subunit ribosomal RNAs, 5.8S and 28S rRNAs. Lineage: Eukaryota; Metazoa; Chordata; Mammalia; Rodentia; Chinchillidae. The record is from RNAcentral.